CUUGCAACCAUCACUGACCUCCAGCUAGCUUUGUGAAGUAUCCAGCAAUGGUGUAGAAUUUCCCUUACAUGGGUGUAACCAUCUCAGCAUUUUGCUAGCUCAGAGCCCAAGAACCUUAAAGGAAAGCAGCUGCUUAUUUGAAGAUUUGCAUUUCCAUGAGUGAGGAAUUAUGAGCAUGGAAACUAACAGGAAAACAAUGAUACAGCGCCCAACAGAUUCAAAUGGGAGGAAGAAAACUUUGCCAAAAAAUAGGUAAGUAGAUUGCUGUUUAAGGCACCGAUAAGUAACUUCAAUAGAAGUUUUAUUAUUAAUGUGUCCAUGCUCUAAGCAGCAAACAGCAAAAACCAAAUGAAUCUAUUGUGGCUUACAGACUGCUCCCUGAACAGGAAACCACUCAGCUUCAUUGUGUUCAAAAGCUGCUGCUAAAAUAAAUUAUGUUGUAAUUCGAAGAGUGGGGCACUUGAAGCUCAAAGAUUUACACUGCUGUUUCGCAAACUUCGGGUAAUUCCAAGGGUGUUCAGAAAGUAGGUAAUAUAAGAGUGUAUUAAUACAGUCCUAAUAUAAACCUUGGCUGCAUAUUCAUUGAAAAACAGUUAUUGUUUCUGAAUAUUGAGUUAUUCUACUGCACUUACCUGUUCAUGUUGCUGGUCAGGGUGACAUGGGGCCAAGGACCAGCAACUAAAGAGGGUGAUAGUGAGAGAACUAUCAUCCUCAACAGCAGGGUUAGAUCAAGACUUGUCAAUGUGUUUCUUCUGAACUCAGUGUAUCCCACAUAUUCCUACUAGCUGAGUUCCAUCCUAAAGCAGGAUGAAACAAUACCAUGACAGGGCUGAGGGAAAUCGUGAUACUUAUCGGAGCUGGCAGAAUGUGAAAGGAGCCAUGUGCAGUGGCACAGCUACAUGCUAAAAGAGAUUUAGAUCCUAUUUCCCUAAGCAAAAUCAUCCCUCAAACUAUGUUCUGAAGAUGUAAAAGUAUUAAUGAUUGUUGCGAAAUUUGUCUAAAAUCAAUAUUUGCAGUAUCAGUAGCGUUCUACGCAAUGCUCCAAAUUUAAGGCUGUAAGAGAUUACCAAAAAUGAUGAAUUUCUAUGUCUAACAAAUUGUUUUUCAAGUUUAAAUUAUUGUACUUGCAGCUUUCACUUGUUCUAAGUUAGACUGUUUGAAAAGUUUCAUAGAUUAAUGGUAAUUUCUAAUAUUUAAGUGGAUGUUUUUUUAUGUCCUUAGUUCCUGCCCAAGUUUAUUUGCAGAAAUGAAUCUCGAAAUACAUCCAAAAGGUAAAAUUAUUUUAGUACUGAAAAAAGAAGUACUAUAGCAU
Long non-coding RNA from Numida meleagris (helmeted guineafowl), 1312 nucleotides. RefSeq lists it as uncharacterized. The transcript is spliced from 3 exons. The record is from RefSeq and is a predicted model, not a curated record. Lineage: Eukaryota; Metazoa; Chordata; Aves; Galliformes; Numididae.